This 497-nucleotide ribosomal RNA is filed under the name uncultured bacterium. RNAcentral's name for it is "partial 16S ribosomal RNA". It matches the Rfam family "Bacterial small subunit ribosomal RNA", at positions 28 to 507 of the family's 1533-position model. The record is from RNAcentral.
GAUGAACGCUGGCGGCGUGCCUAAUACAUGCAAGUCGAGCGGAAAGAUGAGGAGCUUGCUGCGCUGACGUUAGGGGAAGGCGGGUGAAAAACACGUGGAUAACCUACCUAUAAGAGGGGGAAAACUUCGAGAAACCGGAGAUAAUAGCGGAUGAUAUAUUGAUCCGCGGGGGUCGAUAGUAAGAGACGGUGGUGGUGGAACUACUAGAGGGAUACGCGCCGCAUUGGCUAGUUGGUAAGGUAAAGGCUUACGAAGGGAAGGAUGCGUAGCCGAGCUGAUAGGGUGAUCGGCAACCUUGGAACUGAACCACCGUCCAGACUCCUACGGGAGGCAGCAGUCGCGAACCUUCCGCAACGGUCGAAAGCCUGACGCAGCAACGCCGCGCGAGUUAUGAAGAUCUCCGGAUCGUAAAACUCUGUUACUAGGUAAGAACAGAUGUGUAAGUAACUAUGCACGUCUUGACGGUACCUAAUCAGAAAGCCACGGCUAACUACGUG